Molecule: ribosomal RNA, 488 nt
Filed under: uncultured bacterium
Lineage: Bacteria
Description: bacterial SSU rRNA
Rfam family: Bacterial small subunit ribosomal RNA
Source: RNAcentral
ACGGGAGGCAGCAGUGGGGAAUAUUGCACAAUGGGGGAAACCUGAUGCAGCAACGCCGCGUGAGUGAAGAAGUAUUUCGGUAUGUAAAGCUCUAUCAGCAGGGAAGAUAAUGACGGUACCUGACUAAGAAGCUCCGGCUAAAUACGUGCCAGCAGCCGCGGUAAUACGUAUGGAGCAAGCGUUAUCCGGAUUUACUGGGUGUAAAAGGUGCGUAGGUGGCAGUGCAAGUCAGAUGUGAAAGGCCGGGGCUCAACCCCGGAGCUGCAUUUGGAACUGUCAUGCUAGAGUGCAGGAGGGGUGAGCGGAAUUCCUAGUGUAGCGGUGAAAUGCGUAGAUAUUAGGAGGAACACCGGAGGCGAAGGCGGCUCACUGGACUGUAACUGACACUGAGGCUCGAAAGCGUGGGGAGCAAACAGGAUUAGAUACCCUGGUAGUCCACGCGGUAAACGAUGAAUACUAGAUGUCGGGAAGCAUUGCUUCUCGGUGUC